UACCGUAGUUGACUUAUUAAAAUUAUAGAAAUACAUGUUAAAUACACCUUGACUGUAUAUUACUAGUAGUUGACUUAUUUAAAUAGCAACUAAUUAAUUAAAUAAUAUAAUAAUAACCCAAUUUGGAAAAAUACAUAAGAACUAAACAAAAUUAAGUAAUACAACAACAAAAUAUUGCAGAUCAAAUAAUAAAAUAAAAAACAAAUCAAAACCAGUAUCAGUACAAUCCAAUCCAACUUAGAAUAUUAAACUAAAAAAAAUAAAAAGGCUAAAACCCAAUUUGGAGAAAUACAUAAGAACUAAACAAAAUUAAGUAAUACAAUACCAAAAUAUUGCAGAUCAAAUAAUAAAAUUAAAAAACAAAUUAAAACCAAUAUCAGUAUAAUCCAAUCCAACUUAGAAUAAUAAACUAAAAAAUUAAAAAGACUAAAACCCAAUUUGGGGAAGAUGAGGACUGAAAAGAAAAGUUACAAAUUUCGACGGAUUUGAAGGGAAUUGAAUCCAUUUCCUUCCCCAUAAUUCCAGAUCUGAAUUUUGGGAUUCAUACAGAUUCAUACAUGGAAUCCAUUUGAAACGUCGAUGGAAGAUUCAUACAAAUUCGCAUCGUCAACUCCAAAACACGAGGAAAAUUUAGAUUCCAACACUGCCUAACCUCCGGCGCUCAUCUCCCAUGACAGAUCUGAAUUUUGGGAUGAGGAUGAAGGUAUGGGUUUGGAUUUUUGGUUCUUCCUCUGCUCAUGAGAUUUCUAAAAUUCUAGGUUUGAGUUUGGGUUUUUGGUUCCUCUUAGAGAGAGAAAAUGAAGUGAGUUUGAGAUUGGACAAAAUUUUGAAGAUGAUAAACGAAUUGGGGUUUUUAGUUUGAGAUUUUCGAGCUUCAUGAAUGGUUACAAGGGAAGAGGAUGAAUGAUUUGGGUAUUUUGAAUUUUGAAAUUUUUGGCGAGUUCAUGGUAAUGGGGAAGAUGAUGAAAAUGGAGAAGAAAAAGGAAAGAGAAAACAAAAUUAGGUUUGUAAAUUUGUAAUUUAUUAUCUUAG
RNAcentral lists this long non-coding RNA (1032 nucleotides) under Panax ginseng (ginseng). Its description in RNAcentral is "long non-coding RNA (PGIN_LNC008879)". The record is from RNAcentral. Lineage: Eukaryota; Viridiplantae; Streptophyta; Magnoliopsida; Apiales; Araliaceae.